GUUCCGAGAGGAAGUGACUUUUUUUAUAGUUGUCUUCUGUCUGUAUGCGACAGUGGUCUUUUGCAUGUUAGAAACCUUAGAAACCUUUUCGAAUUACAACUUCAGCUUUUAUUCAUAAAUUAUUUUAUUGAAUCUAUGUGAUUUCUAUAAAUUAAAUGGUUAUUUAAAAGUAUAAUAAUUCAAAGUCGUAAUUUUCACUUUAAUCACUUUAGUUCCGUCUCAAGUCUACAACUGUGACAUUAUUAAAAAAAAAUAAACGUCAAAAAUUUUUCAUCGAAAAAACGUGUUUUUCUACGAUUUCUAAUUGUUUCUAAUUGAAAUCAAUAAUUUCUCAGUCAUUAUUAUUAAGAACUACAUGUGCAUGGAUUGCCUGUUGGAUUGAUGUUUGUUUACGAAAAAAAUUCUCUCAAGUAAGUUAAUAAGUUAAUAUCGAACUUCGAACUUAUAAAGUGUUAAGCAGCAAUUACAAUAAAAGUGCUUGCUGUGGAAUCACUGGUGCUGCUCAUUAUUGUCAACUGUUACUUAAAAAGGUUAUGCCAUGCAUUAAAUUAGGAAGAUUUGUGUUGGAUGAAUUACCCAGAUAACAAUUAAAACAACUUCUAUUUAUAAGAACAUUCGAUUGGUGGAAUCCAGAUUCUGUGAAUAUAUAUUAAGUAAUUGAUUGACAAGUACACAUUUGACAAGGUGGUGAGAAACAUGUAGAUCUGGCCUGCUUACAGUGGAGUGGACAGAACCAACGUGAGAGUGAACGUGUGAAUUUAUGGAGAACAUUAAACUAUUUUACUAUAAGUCUUAUCGCAACAUAUUUUAUAUGAGUUACAUACAAAUGUCAAUCCGUGAGUACAUAAUGUAAAAACUAAAACAAUGUACUGUUAUCACAACAGUAACUGUAAUCUUUAAAAAUCCAGUAGUUUUAUUGCUUAUUGAUUUUCGUAAACAAAAUAUUUCAUGUUAUAUUUCAUCAAUAAAGUUUUAUUUUAUA
Ostrinia nubilalis (European corn borer) is the source of this 982-nucleotide long non-coding RNA. RefSeq lists it as uncharacterized. NCBI's taxonomy places the organism in Eukaryota, Metazoa, Arthropoda, Insecta, Lepidoptera, Crambidae. The transcript is spliced from 5 exons. The record is from RefSeq and is a predicted model, not a curated record.